UACGAAGGGGGCUAGCGUUGCUCGGAAUCACUGGGCGUAAAGCGCCCGUAGGCGGAUCUUUAAGUCAGGGGUGAAAUCCUGGAGCUCAACUCCAGAACUGCCUUUGAUACUGGGGAUCUCGAGUCCGGGAGAGGUGAGUGGAACUCCGAGUGUAGAGGUGAAAUUCGUAGAUAUUCGGAAGAACACCAGUGGCGAAGGCGGCUCACUGGCCCGGUACUGACGCUGAGGCACGAAAGCGUGGGGAGCAAACAGG
RNAcentral lists this ribosomal RNA (253 nucleotides) under uncultured bacterium. RNAcentral's name for it is "partial 16S ribosomal RNA". It matches the Rfam family "Bacterial small subunit ribosomal RNA", at positions 524 to 776 of the family's 1533-position model. The record is from RNAcentral.